CGCCCGUCAAACCACGAAAGUCAGCAAUACCCAAAACCGGUGGCCUAACCUGCAAAGGAGGGAGCCGUCUAAGGUAGGGUUGAUGAUUGGGGUUAAGUCGUAACAAGGUAUCCCUACCGGAAGGUGGGGAUGGAUCACCUCCUUUCUAAGGAGCAUAACAGUAAGAAUAACUUACAAAAACUCUACUCUCUCGUCAUAUUCAGUUUUGAAGGAUUUUCCUUCAAUAUAUUUAAUAAAAGUAAUAAGUUCUUUGAAAAGUAGAUAAAUUCUGUCGUAACAAAUAAUAAAAAAGUUUAAUUAGCAAUAAUUAAGCGCGUAAAAGGUUAAGAAAGUAAGGGCACACAGUGAAUGCCUAGGCACUAAGAGCCGAAGAAGGACGCAACUAACGGCGAAACGCCACGGGAAGCAGUAAGUAUGUGAAGAUCCGUGGGUAUCCGAAUGAGGGAACUCGGCAUGUAGAAGACAUGUCACGUCGAAAGACGAGGGAAACGCAGUGAAUUGAAAUAUCUUAGUAACUGCAGGAAAAGAAAGUAAAAACGAUUCUGCGAGUAGCGACGAGCGAAAGUGGAGGAGCCCGAUACCAUAAUAGUUACAAAACUUUAUGUGAGAAGAACAACCUGGGAAGGUUGACCAAAGAAGGUGAAAGUCCUGUAAACGAAGCAUAAAGACUAGGGUAUCAAAGAGUACAGCGGGACACGAGAAAUCUUGCUGGAACUAUAAGGAGGACCAUCUCCUAAGGCUAAAUACUACUUAGUGACCGAUAGUGAACCA
This 771-nucleotide small RNA is filed under the name Haploplasma axanthum. Its description in RNAcentral is "bacterial LSU rRNA". The stretch from base 322 to 771 matches the Rfam family "Bacterial large subunit ribosomal RNA", at positions 1 to 497 of the family's 2925-position model. Lineage: Bacteria; Bacillati; Mycoplasmatota; Mollicutes; Acholeplasmatales; Acholeplasmataceae. The record is from RNAcentral.